RNAcentral lists this ribosomal RNA (492 nucleotides) under uncultured bacterium. RNAcentral's name for it is "partial 16S ribosomal RNA". It matches the Rfam family "Bacterial small subunit ribosomal RNA", at positions 29 to 507 of the family's 1533-position model. The record is from RNAcentral.
AGUGAACGCUGGCGGUAGGCCUAACACAUGCAAGUCGAACGGCAGCACAGUAAGAGCUUGCUCUUACGGGUGGCGAGUGGCGGACGGGUGAGGAAUACAUCGGAAUCUACUUUUUCGUGGGGGAUAACGUAGGGAAACUUACGCUAAUACCGCAUACGACCUACGGGUGAAAGCAGGGGAUCUUCGGACCUUGCGCGAUUGAAUGAGCCGAUGUCGGAUUAGCUAGUUGGCGGGGUAAAGGCCCACCAAGGCGACGAUCCGUAGCUGGUCUGAGAGGAUGAUCAGCCACACUGGAACUGAGACACGGUCCAGACUCCUACGGGAGGCAGCAGUGGGGAAUAUUGGACAAAGGGCGCAAGCCUGAUCCAGCCAUACCGCGUGGGUGAAGAAGGCCUUCGGGUUGUAAAGCCAUUUUGUUGGGAAAGAAAAGCAGCAGGUUAAUACCCCGCUGUUCUGACGGUACCCAAAGAAUAAGCACCGGCUAACUUCGUG